Molecule: small nucleolar RNA, 131 nt
Organism: Hibiscus syriacus
Lineage: Eukaryota; Viridiplantae; Streptophyta; Magnoliopsida; Malvales; Malvaceae
Product: small nucleolar RNA snoR77
Exons: 1
Source: RefSeq, a predicted model, not a curated record
AGGCAGCCUUAUUGCCUCAAAUCAUCAUGGCAAUAAAGGUGUUAAACUGCUCGGAUACUGAAUAUUGCUUUUCAUCUUCAGUCUUGCUGAGAUUUAUUGAUGAAGCUGGACUAGUAAGCUUUAAGCACAUU